GUCUCUCUCUUCCCGCUGUCAACCCAAACCCAAAUCCUCCUCCACUCCAGCCGACUCUCCUCCUCAGCUUAGCUCGCACAAGGCCUUCCCGCCCAAUCGCCCAUCAGUUUCUCCGACCGCCGGUUGAUUUUGUUCAUGUAGUCUCUAUGAAGCAACCACUGCUGGAAAGAUGAACUUGGAAAGAACGACUUUUGGUGGAAGCUUUCCUGCACAGGUAAGAUUCAGAAUUUACAAGGAAUGUCUCCCCUUGCAUGAGAGUGAUUUUAAACAUGCUAUUCUAGAUAAGUACCAGAAAGGCUCCAAGAAGUUUAACCCUGUUUGUACCAUACUUAGGGCUUCCGUAUUUAGAUCUUAUAUAAAUACUCGGGAGACUUAAAUGUAAUUAUGUAAUAAAGGAAGGGGCAAAUAUGUAAUAAGUGAGAAGCCCUUAUUCUACAAAAGGAUCUCUCACUCUCUUCAUUAAGGAGGAGGCCAAUUCUGAGACCAUACCCUCA
Non-coding RNA from Malus domestica (apple), 494 nucleotides. The record is from RefSeq and is a predicted model, not a curated record. Lineage: Eukaryota; Viridiplantae; Streptophyta; Magnoliopsida; Rosales; Rosaceae.